RNAcentral lists this unclassified non-coding RNA (660 nucleotides) under Hevea brasiliensis (rubber tree). Lineage: Eukaryota; Viridiplantae; Streptophyta; Magnoliopsida; Malpighiales; Euphorbiaceae. The record is from RNAcentral.
GAAACCCCAGAUUUUUUCUGGGUUGACUCUUCUUCUUUUUCUGUGAAUUUUUGUUUUUGGCUAAAGGGGUUUCAGAGCAAAGAGUUUGCUAUGGAUUCUCAAGUUCUUGUUGCUCUUGGUCUUUCAUUGUUGGGUGGAUUGAGUACCUCUCUAGGUGCACUUUUUGUGGUUAUUAGCCAGACUCCUAACUUGAAGAUGCUAGGACUUUUACAGGGGUUUGCUGCCGGUCUUAUGCUUAGCAUAUCAUUCUUUGACUUGGCUCAUAAUGCUAUAAACUCCAUUGGCUUCUUAAAAGGAAACCUCUGGUUUUUUGCAGGUGUUAUCUUCUUUGCUCUUGUUUCAAAUUUCAUCCCGGAACCUACACUUGCACCCAUUUCAAGUGCCAAAGGCAAAAAGAAAGACGGAGAUGAUAGGGGUAAGGAUAUUAUGAAGAAGCAUCGCCGCCAAGUUUUAUUUAGUGGAAUCAUCACAGCUGUAGGUAUAAGCUUGCACAACUUUCCUGAAGGGAUGGCUGUGUUUCUUGGAUCAAUGAAGGGACUUCGGGUUGGUCUGAACUUGGCUCUUGCUAUUGCCUUACACAAUAUACCAGAGGGUGUUGCAGUUGCACUUCCAGUUUAUUUUGCAACACAGAGCAAAUGGCAGGCAUUCAAAUUGGCAACA